UUGGAGGAAAAGGCUAUACAUGGAGGAA
RNAcentral lists this non-coding RNA (28 nucleotides) under Homo sapiens (human). The record is from RNAcentral. Lineage: Eukaryota; Metazoa; Chordata; Mammalia; Primates; Hominidae.